Molecule: transfer RNA, 72 nt
Filed under: Nocardiopsis dassonvillei
Lineage: Bacteria; Bacillati; Actinomycetota; Actinomycetes; Streptosporangiales; Nocardiopsidaceae
Also listed under: 19 other names
Description: tRNA-Arg
Rfam family: tRNA
About the family: Transfer RNA (tRNA) molecules are approximately 80 nucleotides in length. Their secondary structure includes four short double-helical elements and three loops (D, anti-codon, and T loops).
Source: RNAcentral
GCCCCCUUAGCUCAGGGGAUAGAGCAUCGGCCUCCGGAGCCGGGUGCGCAGGUUCGAAUCCUGCAGGGGGCA